Molecule: ribosomal RNA, 306 nt
Filed under: uncultured bacterium
Lineage: Bacteria
Description: bacterial SSU rRNA
Rfam family: Bacterial small subunit ribosomal RNA
Source: RNAcentral
GGCGAACGCUGGCGGCGUGCCUAACACAUGCAAGUCGAACGGGGUUGUUCCUUCGGGGACAACUUAGUGGCGAACGGGUGAGUAACGCGUGAGGAACCUGCCUUUCAGUGGGGGACAACAGUUGGAAACGACUGCUAAUACCGCAUAAUGUUAUUUAGGGGCAUCCCUGAAUAACCAAAGCUUUAUGUGCUGAAAGAUGGCCUCGCGUCUGAUUAGCUAGUUGGUGAGGUAGCGGCUCACCAAGGCGACGAUCAGUAGCCGGUCUGAGAGGAUGAUCAGCCACACUGGGACUGAGACACGGCCCAG